UUCUCUGAGAUUAGGAACAAGUCCUUUUGCUAUAGGCUGGAUAAGCAGCUGUGAUUCUCCAGGGCAAGCUUGCCUGGAAUUCUGCACAGAGGUCACAGCUAGCAACUGAGGAGUGUUCUGCAAGGAGGUUUAUCACCACCAGGAAAAGAGCAUACUCAUGAAGAACUGUUGUGCUGUAACUUGUUAAGACUCAGUACUCUCUUCUUGGAUCUGAGCACUACAUUAUCACAGAUUGGCCCAAGGAAAGCAAUACCUGGGCUAGGACUACUUUUUGGCUAAGGUUCAAAGWCUUGGCUGUGGGAUAACUUAGAAUUUGGGUCAUUGUUAUUUUGUGAAUAAGACUGAAAACUUAGAAAUGUAGCUGGUACUGAUACUUGGUAGUUACCUGUUCUAGUGAGCGUUCUGCUGUCAGAUGACAUUAUCUAAUUGUUUUCUGGGGAAAACUAGUAAAGAAAGUCACUUCUGGAAAGGAACUUAAUAAAAAAAAAAGUUAUCAAUCGUGAAUGAAGCA
Molecule: long non-coding RNA, 511 nt
Filed under: Dromaius novaehollandiae (emu)
Lineage: Eukaryota; Metazoa; Chordata; Aves; Casuariiformes; Dromaiidae
Description: lncRNA (ENSDNVG00000016230.1)
Source: RNAcentral